This 1127-nucleotide long non-coding RNA is filed under the name Marmota monax (woodchuck). Lineage: Eukaryota; Metazoa; Chordata; Mammalia; Rodentia; Sciuridae. The record is from RNAcentral.
AACACCUUUCCUCCCAAGCAAUACAACGCUGUUUAUGUGUAAUUUACUAGAUAUGUAAAGGUCAAUGUUCCGAGGUGUUAUAUAGUGCUACCAAGACCUUACCUUCCCCCAAAUACUCCAGACCAUUCCCCUGUUAAUAUCUCUCAUCAGUAGAGCAACCUUCCAAGGUUGUCAAGAGAUACUAACCUCAAUACCAUCACAUCAUUCGACCUAAAUAUAAGUCCCAACACCAAACCGCAGACAGCUAUAUGCCAUCAGAAUCCAUACACAGUUUAGGAAACGAAUGAAUCUACAUUAAAGUGCAACAAAACUCAUCAUCUCUAGUCAUAGUCUCCCAUCACAAAAGAGAGACCCCAGAGUCACACAAAACCAAAUAAAUUUAUAGGAGUAAACAGUAACUUAGCAGUCAAACAGAGCAAGAAGUAACAUAAGCAGCAUGAAAAAGCAAGGAAGAAAAGGAGUACAAACAAUGCAGGACAGCAUAAAUAUACAGGAGGACCUAGAGGCAUCAGAAAAAUGGCCAAAUAAAGAACUCAAAGAAUACCUUAGACAGAUGGAAUGGAAUCUUAGAGAGGAUAUGAGACAGCAAAUUCAAACAAUGAAAGAACUCAUUGAAAAUGAAAUACACAAGCAAAUAAAAGAAGCAAAUAAGCAUCUUUAUCAGGAGAUAGAGAUUAUAAAAAAAAUCAAACAAUAAUUUUAGAAAUGAAGGAAACUAUAACCCAAAUUAAAAACUCAAUUGAGAGUAUCACCAACAGAGUGGAGCAAGUAGAAGCCAGAACGUCAGAUAAUGAAGACAAAAUAUAUCAUCUUGAAAAGAGUCUAGCCAACUCAGGAAGGCUGGUAAAAAAUCACGAGAAAAACAUCCAAGAGAUAUGGGAUAACAUAAAAAAAAACAAACUUAAGAGUCAUCGGGAUAGAGGAAGGCAUAGAGGUUCAAACCAAGGGAAUGAACAACCUGUUGAAUGAAAUAAUUAUAGAAAACUUUCCAGACAUAAAAAAGGAAAUGGAUGUACAAAUUGUAGAUGCAUACAGGACACCGAGCAUACAAAAUCACAGUAGACCAACGCCAAGACACAUUGUUAUGAAGAUAUCCAAUAUACAGAACAAAGAGAAAAUAUUAAAAG